CGCAACAACAACCCGCGCGAUAUCAUAUCGGCGAUUUUACAUGGGAAUCUGGUCUAUUUUCGACCAAGCUUCGCUUCAAACGAUUUAAUAAUAUGAAAUCGACCAAUAAAGCAAUAAAUUAUCUAUCGUAUGCAGGAAGCAUACAAUAACGAUGUAAGAAUUGAUCAAGUAACAGAGAGACAUAACGUUGAGGCAGUAACAUUAUCAUUUGUUGCUGUAUACACGUACGUGUAUAUUCUACAUUAUUCAUUUGUCUUCGCUAAUAGGAUAAUACUGAUAAUAAUAACAGUAAUAACUCAUAAGCGUUCCAGGGAAAAAUAGGUCCAUAGUAUUCUCUUUGUCGUACAAGGCGAUUAAAAGGGAACCCCACAAAGAAUAGAGACGAGAAAUAAAAAAAAGCCACAAAAAUGUCGCUUUCUGGAGUGUGCCAAAGUGAGUCUGGAGUCGAUUCUGGGCACGACACCACACGAACCAUCGAUGAUAAGGAUUUGAGCAAACGAAACCUUAUCGGACAAUUCGAAGAAAGUGCAGCCAAGAUACAGACUGAAAAUGUUUUAAAAGAAUAACCGAAAAUUAUCGGGAAACCAAGUUAAUGCUUGAUAUGUACUGACAAAAUGUACGAAACGGUCAACUGUCAUCAAAUCUUGCUAUUACAUCUUAACUAAACUGCAAAUUAACAGGAUAUAGAGGAAAUUAACACAUGAUAAACUUUGCAUCGAUAAAUAUUUACAUCUAAAAGAAAGAUGGAAUCGGAAAUCAAAAAAGAAUUAUAAUAAAAACAAUAGAAUCAUAAAAAAAUACUACAGAAAAUAAAAGAAGAAACCACUCAAAGAUAUAAAUAUCCAGACUGAUAUAUAAGAAAACAGAGAACAGAUAUCAAAACAGACACAUCCAGACAAAACAAAAGUUGCAAUAGAGAUAAAUAUACAGACCGAAGAAAUAAAUAAUGAAGAAAUAAUUGGAAGAAAAAGAAAUAAUAUAUCAAUUGGGAAAAUACAUCAAACUAUCAGUCAACAAUACAGAUUCGAAGAAACUACACAUCAUCAUAUAUGAAGUCGCAAUAGUAAGAAUAUAACAAAUAAAAAUUAUCAAAACACAAUCAAUAUAAAAUAACAGAACAAAAAGAAACAAUAUGGAGGACCAGUAAUAAAUCAAGAACAAAAUAAACAAAACUUAGAAAGAAUAUAAGCAGACUGACAAAGAUCAUCGAAAGAAAUAAAACUAAGAAAACCACGAAGCAUAUAAAGAAUAUAAAUAAAUCAAUCAAUCAUAAUAGAAUUUAGCAAGAUAUAUUGGAUACACGAAAUCGAAAACUAUUCGUAUAUGCAGCCAGACUAGAAAGAUAUAAUGAAUCAACAGAAGGAAAAAAGGAAAUAAAAUUUUCCAAAUCAAUGCAAACUUAUUCUAUCAAAUAAUCUCAACAUCGAUAGCAAACAAAAAAAUAGAAACUCCGAUUGAAGAACAAAUAAUAGAAUUAUGGAAACAAAUAUGAUUAAACGCAAUAUAAAACAUACUUAACACUAAUUGGAUAAUAAAAGAAAAAAAUAGAUCAUGUUACAGAACAACAAUGUUACAGAAUAUAUAAUAAGAUUAGAACUCACAGAAACUAUCAUAAACAUAUAAUUGAAAAUUUCCAGGAACAGAUCGAGUACAAAACUUUCGGUACAAAUAAUCCACGACAACACUUUAUAUCUGAUAAUACAAAUUAAUGAAAAUAUGAAACAUCCAAACUAAUUUCUAGCAUUCUUAACUGAAGGUAAAACAUUUAUUAUAUAAAAAAAUCAAGGCAUAUAAAACUUAAUAAAUCGUAGACCGAUAACAUGUUUCACGACUUUAUAAAAAAUCAUAAAAGGAACCAUUUGUAAAAAAAAGUAGUAAAGAAAAAAUAGUAAAAAACGUAACGAACGCAUAAUAAUAGAUAAUAUAAUCAUGAGACAAUCAACAAAUCAUCAGCGAAACUUACAUAAAUAUUAUAUGUAUUAUAAGAAAAACCUUCGAUUUUGUAUCACACUCCUAAUUACAAGAAAUAUUAAAUAUAUACAAAAUAAAUACAAAAAUACAAAGUUUCCUCAAACAAAUUAUGUAAAAAUGGAAAAUCAAACUAUGUACUUUAGAAAAGAAAAGCAUAAAAAUUUAGACAAUAGAAAUCAAAAGAAGGAAUCUUUCAAGGAAAAUUGAUGAGUUCCUUGUGAUUUUGCAUGAGCAUAAAUCGAUUAUGUCAAAUGUAUCAAAUAAGAAAAAAUAUUAUAAAAUAGUACAAAAUAGCAUACAAUAAUACUAAAAUAUUAUACAAUAAACCAUUUAAUGUAUAUGAUUAAUGUAUAUGGACGAUAAGUAUAGCGACAAAAACAUAACUAAGAGAAUAUAAAAAUGAAAUUUAGAAUAUAAUGUAAAGCUGUGCACAUAGAAAAAGACAAAUAUGUAAGAGAUAGGCAGGCGAUGGAGUAUGUGUGAUCACGUAUAGUAAUGCCAUUCCGUUUACGUUUGGGAAUUCUGGGUGAUUGCAGCACGUAUCGAGAAAAAAACAAAAAAAAAACAAAUAAGAACUUUUAAGUAUACGUUAAAACUUGCGUUUUUCUCGCUGUAUAAAAAAAAAAAUGGCAAGCGAACAUAAAAAGAUUCUUAUGAAAUUAAAUGUCGCAGAAUUAAAGAAAACUGCAGCAGAUCGGUCUCAAUA
Molecule: long non-coding RNA, 2677 nt
Organism: Vespula vulgaris
Lineage: Eukaryota; Metazoa; Arthropoda; Insecta; Hymenoptera; Vespidae
Exons: 2
Source: RefSeq, a predicted model, not a curated record